GCCCUGACCGGGAAUCGAAUCGUGCUUGGUUCAUAGGUCGAUAAUUUUGCUAUGAGUUGAAUACAGUUCCCUGUGGGUCUGUAAAUAACUUUUUUUAAAUUAUAAAAGUAAUACUUCUUUA
This is a long non-coding RNA of Myotis brandtii (Brandt's bat), 121 nucleotides long. RefSeq lists it as uncharacterized. The transcript has 2 exons. NCBI's taxonomy places the organism in Eukaryota, Metazoa, Chordata, Mammalia, Chiroptera, Vespertilionidae. The record is from RefSeq and is a predicted model, not a curated record.